Molecule: ribosomal RNA, 2370 nt
Filed under: human gut metagenome
Description: bacterial LSU rRNA
Rfam family: Bacterial large subunit ribosomal RNA
Source: RNAcentral
CUAAAUACUACCCAGUGACCGAUAGCGUAUAGUACUGUGAAGGAAAGGUGAAAAGCACCCCGGGAGGGGAGUGAAAAAGAACCUGAAACCCUGUGCCUACAAGCACCUAGAGCACGUCAAAGUGUGAUAGGGUACUUUUUGUAGAACGGUCCGGCGAGCGAUUGUAUGCAGCAAGGUUAAGGACUUAAGGUCUGGAGCCGAAGCGAAAGCGAGUUUGAAAAGGGCGUUAAGUUGCAUACAAUGGGCCCGAAACCGGGUGACCUACCCAUGGUCAGGUUGAAGUGGAAGUAAAAUUCCAUGGAGGACCGAACCGACCUCCGUUGAAAAGGCGGCGGAUGAACUGUGGGUAGCGGAGAAAUUCCAAUCGAACCCGGAGAUAGCUGGUUCUCCCCGAAAUAGUUUUAGGACUAGCCUCAAGUUAGAUACCUGGAGGUAAAGCACUGAAUAGCCUAGCGGCCGAGAGGUUAGCGAAGCUUAUCAAACUCAGAAUGCCAGAGUAUUGAUGCUUGGGAGUCAGACAGUGUCAGAUAAAUGUCAUUGUCAAAAGGGAAACAGCCCAGAUCUACAGCUAAGGUCCCAAAGUCAGGUUAAGUGGAAAACGAUGUGAAGAUACGUAGACAACCAGGAUGUUGGCUCAGAAGCAGCCACACAUUCAAAGAGUGCGUAAUAGCUCACUGGUCGAGCGUCUUUGCGCGGAGAAUUUAACGGGGCUAAACCUGACACCGAAGCUUAGGCAAUACAGCAAUGUAUUGGGUAGGGGAGCGUUGUAUACGCGGUGAAACAGUAGCGCAAGCGGCUGUGGAGUGUAUAGAAGUGAGAAUGCCGGAAUGAGUAGCGCGAAUGCAGUGAGAAUCUGCAUGGCCGAAAGCCUCAGGUUUCUGGAGGAAGGUUCGUCCGCUCCAGGUUAGUCGGGAGCUAAGGUGAGGCCUAACGGCGUAGCCGAUGCACAGACGGUAGAGAUUCCGUCACCACCAAAAGAGUUAAACACAGGGACACAUUUGAAGUCUCGGAGCCGGGUGUUGGUUCCGGUAGCGAUCGAGGGAAGUUAGUACCGAAGUCCGGGAUGGAAGAUGGCGAGAAAAGCUGUGUGUAUUUCUGCGGUGCCCGUACCGCAAACCGACACAGGUAGGUAGGAAGAAGAUUCUAAGGCCAACGGGAGAAGGGUUGUUAAGGAACUCGGCAAGUUGACCCCGUAACUUCGGAAUAAGGGGUGCUCAUGAAAGUGAGCCGCAGAGAAUAGGCCCAGGCAACUGUUUACCAAAAACACAGGUUUGUGCUAAAUCGAAAGAUGACGUAUACGAGCUGACGCCUGCCCGGUGCUGGAAGGUUAAGAGGAGAUGUGCAAGCAUUGAAUCGAAGCCCCAGUGAACGGCGGCCGUAACUAUAACGGUCCUAAGGUAGCGAAAUUCCUUGUCAGGUAAGUUCUGACCCGCACGAAUGGCGUAACGAUUUGGGCACUGUCUCAACAGCCCGCCCGGCGAAAUUGUAGUACCGGUGAAGAUGCCGGUUACCCGCGACAAGACGGAAAGACCCCAUGGAGCUUUACUGUAGCCUAAUAUUGGGUUUCGAUGUUGCAUGCACAGGAUAGAUGGGACACUGGGAAACAAUCGCUUUGGCGGUUGCGGAGUGGCCGUUGGGAUACCAUCCUUGCGAUAUUGGAAUUCUAACCUGCGGCUCUGAAUCGAGUCGGGGGACAUUGUUAGGUGGGCAGUUUGACUGGGGCGGUCGCCUCCUAAAGAGUAACGGAGGCGUUCAAAGGUUCGCUCAGCUUGAACGGAAAUCAAGCAAAAGAGUGCAAACGCAGAAGCGAGCCUAACUGCGAGACUGACGGGUCGAGCAGUAACGAAAGUUGGAGUUAGUGAUCCGGUGGUAUGUGAGUGGAAAUGCCAUCGCUCAACGGAUAAAAGCUACCCUGGGGAUAACAGGCUGAUCUCCCCCAAGAGUCCACAUCGACGGGGAGGUUUGGCACCUCGAUGUCGGCUCAUCGCAUCCUGGGGCUGAAUUCGGUCCCAAGGGUUUGGCUGUUCGCCAAUUAAAGCGGUACGCGAGCUGGGUUCAGAACGUCGUGAGACAGUUCGGUCCCUAUCUGUCGUGGGCGCAGGAUAUUUGAUGGGAGCUGUUCCUAGUACGAGAGGACCGGAGCGGACGUACCUCUGGCGCACCAGUUGUUCUGCCAAGGGCAUAGCUGGGCAACUAUGUACGGAUCGGAUAAACGCUGAAAGCAUCUAAGCGUGAAGCCGACCCAAAGAUAAGAUAUCCCACUGAUUUGAUCAGGUAAGACCCCUUGAAGACUACAAGGUUGAUAGGCACGAUGUGUAAGUGGAGUGAUCCAUUCAGCAAGCGUGUACUAAUAGGUCGAGGGCUUGACCA